AUUGAACGCUGGCGGCAGGCCUAACACAUGCAAGUCGAGCGGAUGAAGGGAGCUUGCUCCUGGAUUCAGCGGCGGACGGGUGAGUAAUGCCUAGGAAUCUGCCUGGUAGUGGGGGGUAACGUCCGGAAACGGGCGCUAAUACCGCAUACGUCCUGCGGGAGAAAGUGGGGGAUCUUCGGACCUCACGCUAUCAGAUGAGCCUAGGUCGGAUUAGCUAGUUGGUGGGGUAAAGGCCUACCAAGGCGACGAUCCGUAACUGGUCUGAGUGGAUGAUCAGUCACACUGGAACUGAGACACGGUCCAGACUCCUACGGGAGGCAGCAGUGGGGAAUAUUGGACAAUGGGCGAAAGCCUGAUCCAGCCAUGCCGCGUGUGUGAAGAAGGUCUUCGGAUUGUAAAGCACUUUAAGUUGGGAGGAAGGGCAGUAAGUUAAUACCUUGCUGUUUUGACGUUACCAACAGAAUAAGCACCGGCUAACUUCGUG
Molecule: ribosomal RNA, 484 nt
Filed under: uncultured bacterium
Lineage: Bacteria
Description: partial 16S ribosomal RNA
Rfam family: Bacterial small subunit ribosomal RNA
Source: RNAcentral